RNAcentral lists this transfer RNA (82 nucleotides) under Methanobacteriota archaeon. RNAcentral's name for it is "Euryarchaeota archaeon (marine metagenome) tRNA-Leu". It matches the Rfam family "tRNA". From Rfam's summary of the family: Transfer RNA (tRNA) molecules are approximately 80 nucleotides in length. The record is from RNAcentral. RNAcentral also lists the same sequence under 1 other name. Lineage: Archaea; Methanobacteriati; Methanobacteriota.
GCGGGGGUACUCGAGCGGUCAAAGAGGCAGGACUUAGGAUCCUGUGGUUAGUCCUUCAAGGGUUCAAAUCCCUUCCCCCGCA